Long non-coding RNA from Perognathus longimembris pacificus (Pacific pocket mouse), 1473 nucleotides. RefSeq lists it as uncharacterized. Lineage: Eukaryota; Metazoa; Chordata; Mammalia; Rodentia; Heteromyidae. The transcript has 3 exons. The record is from RefSeq and is a predicted model, not a curated record.
UGGGUGGUGGUGACUCUGGAAAGCCUCAUUAUAAUCUUGUGGAGAAUAAAACCAGUUCUCUUCAGAGGCAGAAUGACACUCUAAUUUGGUGGUUUGUAUAGUGCACUUCUCUCCCUUUUCUAAUUGAAAUCAGUACGGAUUUAUUCCUACCCUACAUUAUGUGUUAAGAAUACUGGAACUGUUGUCCACUGCUCUACCCCACAUAUAGCACUGGGAAAUAAUUUGGUCAGUUGUCUUAUACACGUGCCUUCACAUGAUCCCAUUUAAGUUUAGGUACUGCAUUCAUUAUACUGUAACUCAGAGAGAUCAAGGGACUUUUCAAAGGUCAAAUAUUCAGAUAACAAAUAUUCCACAAGUCUCAGAAAAUUAGGUUGCUUGAUUCCAAUGAAAAGAAGAAACUAUCCCCCUAAAGACCAGAACGUAAAACAACAGUUGUUUUGGUCUUUGAGAAUUUAGUAAAAGCUCACAAAAAUAAAUCUGGUAGCAUAACUAUAUCAAUUUCCCAUUCUGUCUUUCCUUAAAGAACAAAAACAAGCAAACAAACAAAAAGCACUUUGAUGGUGUAGAGCUACGAAGACAAAGAAUAUACUCCAUUAGAUAAGAGGACAAAACAAGAUGGGACAGGCUGCAAGACCUGUGUGGAUGAAGAGAUGAGGCUAUAGAAUUAGGAGUUAAACCAGGGGAUGCUUUUCUCCAGCUUUGUGUCCUGGCUGGUUUACUUUUGGUCAUUUAAACCAUACAGCACACUCCUGCACUAUUAAUCAAAUAAAUCGGCUGUGGACUUUAGAUAUCCACUGUUGUUCCUCUUGAUUACUGUUGCUGCAGCUGAGGAUGAACACUGAGAAUACAGUAGGUAGUUAUCAGCAGGGCUGGACUAACCUGACCAAACCUAAGGCCACAGUUCUAGUGGAGGUCUAGCAAACCUCUGCUCUGCUGGAUGUGGCCUGUUCUGUGGCUGGACCAGGAAGAGACAGGGUGGACAAGGCAGUAGGCAGCUCUCAGGAUGGGUCAGGUUAGAAGCAUUUUCACAUGGACAUUGGCAGAACUAUGCAGGUAGCAAGAGCUGAAGACCCUGGUUACAGCUUAUAGCUCUGGGCACUAAUUUCAACCCUUUAAGUGAAAAAAACUUUGAUACUGAGCUUGUUCUGUAUUUUUUUUUAAUCAUUUCAAUAAAGAGCCAACUUAGGCUAUAAAGACAAACAUCUAUCUUUUCACGUAAAGAUCAUUACUUCAUUGUUUUGGUACACUAAAGAAUUGUACUCAUCGCUGAAUCAUGUAACUGUAACCUCUCUGUACAUCACCUCUACAAUAACAAUAAAAUGUGAGACAAAAACAGUUUAAACAAUCUCGUAGAUUCAUUCUCUUAGGCCUACAGACUUUUCAGAUUUCAAGAGGCUGAGAUCUGAGGAUUGUGGUUUACAGCCAUUCCAGGCAAGAAAAGUCAGACUCUUAUCUCCAAUUAACUACCAACAA